UACGUAGGGUGCAAGCGUUGUCCGGAGUUAUUGGGCGUAAAGAGCUCGUAGGCGGUUUGUCGCGUCUGCUGUGAAAACUCGGGGCUUAAUUCCGGGCCUGCAGUGGGUACGGGCAGACUAGAGUGCGGUAGGGGAGACUGGAAUUCCUGGUGUAGCGGUGAAAUGCGCAGAUAUCAGGAGGAACACCGGUGGCGAAGGCGGGUCUCUGGGCCGUAACUGACGCUGAGGCGCGAAAGCGUGGGGAGCAAACAGG
Molecule: ribosomal RNA, 253 nt
Filed under: uncultured bacterium
Lineage: Bacteria
Description: partial 16S ribosomal RNA
Rfam family: Bacterial small subunit ribosomal RNA
Source: RNAcentral